GCGCCCGUAGCUCAGAUGGAUAGAGCGCCAGCUUGCGGAGCUGGAGGUCGUACGUUCGAAUCGUGCCGGGCGCACCA
RNAcentral lists this transfer RNA (77 nucleotides) under Candidatus Uhrbacteria bacterium. Its description in RNAcentral is "tRNA-Arg". It matches the Rfam family "tRNA". From Rfam's summary of the family: Transfer RNA (tRNA) molecules are approximately 80 nucleotides in length. Their secondary structure includes four short double-helical elements and three loops (D, anti-codon, and T loops). Further hydrogen bonds mediate the characteristic L-shaped molecular structure. tRNAs have two regions of fundamental functional importance: the anti-codon, which is responsible for specific mRNA codon recognition, and the 3' end, to which the tRNAs corresponding amino acid is attached (by aminoacyl-tRNA synthetases). tRNAs cope with the degeneracy of the genetic code in two manners: having more than one tRNA (with a specific anti-codon) for a particular amino acid; and 'wobble' base-pairing, i.e. permitting non-standard base-pairing at the 3rd anti-codon position. Lineage: Bacteria; Candidatus Uhriibacteriota. The record is from RNAcentral.